GCCUAACGGCUGAACCAGCAAUUUGGAAGAAUGAACAACGAAUAAAUCGUAUAAAAUUCUAGAUAGAGAAUAGAUAAUGACAAAUUUCUAUCUAUAAGUCUUGACCAAAUUACGUGCCAGCAGUCGCGGUAAUACGUAAAAGACUAGUGUUAUUCAUCUUUAUUGGGUUUAAAGGGUACCUAGACUGUAGGUAAAGCCAAAAUAAGGAACUAACUUACUAGAGUUUUAAAGAGGAAGACCGAAUUGCCAGAGGAGAGUCUGAAUUUUUUUAUACUGGUGGGACGGGUAACGGCGUAGGCAAUCUUCCAAGUAAAAACUGACGUUGAGGGACGAAGCCUUGGGUAGCAAUCAGGAUUAGAUACCCUAGUAGUCCUUGGAGAAAAUUAUGAGUGCUAUAAGUUAAAUUCUAGCUUAUAAACGAAAGUGUAAGCACUCCACCUCAUGAGUAAAGCGGCAACGCCCAAAUUGAAAUCAUUAGGCCGUAUCUGAAAUCAGUAGUGAAGU
Molecule: ribosomal RNA, 504 nt
Filed under: Chaetothyriales sp. Ic1
Lineage: Eukaryota; Fungi; Ascomycota; Eurotiomycetes; Chaetothyriales
Description: SSU rRNA
Rfam family: Bacterial small subunit ribosomal RNA
Source: RNAcentral